RNAcentral lists this ribosomal RNA (253 nucleotides) under uncultured bacterium. RNAcentral's name for it is "partial 16S ribosomal RNA". It matches the Rfam family "Bacterial small subunit ribosomal RNA", at positions 524 to 776 of the family's 1533-position model. The record is from RNAcentral.
UACGGGGGGGGCAAGCGUUGUUCGGAAUUACUGGGCGUAAAGGGCUCGUAGGUGGCCAACUAAGUCGGACGUGAAAUCCCUCAGCUUAACUGGGGAACUGCGUCCGAUACUGGAUGGCUCGAGUUUGGGAGAGGGAUGCGGAAUUCCAGGUGUAGCGGUGAAAUGCGUAGAUAUCUGGAGGAACACCGGUGGCGAAGGCGGCAUCCUGGACCAACACUGACACUGAGGAGCGAAAGCCAGGGGAGCAAACGGG